Molecule: long non-coding RNA, 1231 nt
Organism: Branchiostoma belcheri (Belcher's lancelet)
Lineage: Eukaryota; Metazoa; Chordata; Leptocardii; Amphioxiformes; Branchiostomatidae
Exons: 2
Source: RefSeq, a predicted model, not a curated record
UAGAGCGUAAGGAGCUAAAUAUUAGUACUAGAUUUGGUGGGCUAGUUGUUUCUCCGCGAGGUUCAGAGGGGAGACAAAAUGGCAGGGCGGCGGGAGCCAUGCGCGUCUCCUGCCCGCCUGCACCGACCGGCCCGCACGGCCCGGCCCUACAGGAUCCCGCCGGGUCUUACCACACGCCCGGGACGUAAGACCUUCAGGAGGAGCAAAACAGCGACCAACUUCCCCUUAAGGGCUGCGAGGGUCAAGGUGUAGGUGGCUGUGGGGUUUCACUGCUUGGCUGAAAUAAUGUGAUGGAAAUCUUCUGAGGUACUACGAUUUUGCUCUAAAUAGUGGAGGAGAAGAACUUCGACGAAAACUCGGCUGGAAAGCAACGAAAGGAUGACGAUUUGAGCUCUGUCAGGGUUCCUUGGGCGAGGAGACAUGGGCAAGAGGUGCUGUUUGCUGCCUUAGCCCUGUCCUGUGCCUCCUGCUGCCCCUGCCGUGCCUGUUGCAGCUGUGCCUCCAGCGCACCUCGCUCCUCCAGCACGCCCUUCAGCUGCAGGGCCAGCUCCUCGCUGUACCGGUGUGUCUGCAUCACGAUGGUGUCGCGCUGGGCCAGCUGGUCCUCCACCACGUUCAGCGUGUUGUUGAACUGUUCCCGCAUGCUGGCUUCCUGGGACAGGGACUUGUGCAGGCUGGAGGGGGGGAAGUUUCAGGGCUGUCAGAACCAGUCACAAUAUCAUUCAACAACACACAAACAUUAUACAUGCUGCUGAAAGACCUACGUAUGAUAUAGUGAAACCUUUUACUAUAUCUUGCUCUCAAACAGUUUUAAGAACUCUCAUCCAAAAUUCUCAGAGCAAUGCCAACUGUAUCAUCUAAUAAACCUAAGACAUGUACACCUAUGAAGGAUUUAGAUGGAAAACAGUAAAUGCUUUUCAGAUUUUUUUAUCCAUGUUGGGGUAUCAUUUGAAGAUGAUCUUAAAAUAAAGGAAAUAAAAGGAAAUGUGAAUGAGGUAAUCACUAAUUUGCACUGUAGUGGGAUUAUCUGUACUUUUCUAGCAUGUCAGAAGCUGCUUAAUAAUGUUAGCUCUUAACAAUUGUAUCUUUGGAACAACCUCCUUGACAUGCUUCAAAGUCCUUUUUCUUGUGAGCUUCAAAGGGUUCAGGGACUAAGGUUAUCAACAAGCUGAGAAAGCACCAAUGAUUCAAUGAAGAAAGAUUUGGAAAUACUAACUGCCAACUGGUAUCC